This 305-nucleotide ribosomal RNA is filed under the name uncultured bacterium. RNAcentral's name for it is "bacterial SSU rRNA". It matches the Rfam family "Bacterial small subunit ribosomal RNA", at positions 330 to 652 of the family's 1533-position model. The record is from RNAcentral.
UUCGGCCUACGGGAGGCAGCAGUGGGGAAUAUUGCACAAUGGGCGAAAGCCUGAUGCAGCAACGCCGCGUGAAGGAAGAAGGGUUUCGGCUCGUAAACUUCUAUCAACAGGGACGAAAGAAAUGACGGUACCUGAAUAAGAAGCCCCGGCUAACUACGUGCCAGCAGCCGCGGCAAUACGUAGGGGGCAAGCGUUAUCCGGAUUUACUGGGUGUAAAGGGAGCGUAGACGGCAUAGCAAGUCUGAAGUGAAAGCCCGUGGCUCAACCGCGGAACUGCUUUGGAAACUGUUAAGCUGGAGUACUGG